AAGUGGUAGGAGAGCGUUCUAUUUGCGUCGAAGGUAUACCGGUAAGGAGUGCUGGAGCGAAUAGAAGUGAGCAUGCAGGCAUGAGUAGCGAUAAUUAAUGUGAGAAUCAUUAACGCCGUAAACCCAAGGUUUCCUACGCGAUGCUCGUCAUCGUAGGGUUAGUCGGGUCCUAAGUCGAGUCCGAAAGGGGUAGACGAUGGCAAAUUGGUUAAUAUUCCAAUACCAACAUUAGUGUGCGAUGGAAGGACGCUUAGGGCUAAGGGGGCUAGCGGAUGGAAGUGCUAGUCUAAGGUCGUAGGAGGUUAUACAGGCAAAUCCGUAUAACAAUACUCCGAGAACUGAAAGGCUUUUUGAAGUCUUCGGAUGGAUAGAAGAACCCCUGAUGCCGUCGAGCCAAGAAAAGUUUCUAAGUUUAGCUAAUGUUGCCCGUACCGUAAACCGACACAGGUGGGUGGGAUGAGUAUUCUAAGGCGCGUGGAAGAACUCUCUUUAAGGAACUCUGCAAAAUAGCACCGUAUCUUCGGUAUAAGGUGUGGUUAGCUUUGUAUUAGGAUUUACUCCGAAAGCAAGGAAACUUACAACAAAGAGUCCCUCCCGACUGUUUACCAAAAACACAGCACUCUGCUAACUCGUAAGAGGAUGUAUAGGGUGUGACGCCUGCCCGGUGCUCGAAGGUUAAUUGAUGGGGUUAGCAUUAGCGAAGCUCUUGAUCGAAGCCCGAGUAAACGGCGGCCGUAACUAUAACGGUCCUAAGGUAGCGAAAUUCCUUGUCGGUUAAAUACCGACCUGCAUGAAUGGCGUAACGAGAUGGGAGCUGUCUCAAAGAGGGAUCCAGUGAAAUUGUAGUGGAGGUGAAAAUUCCUCCUACCCGCGGCAAGACGGAAAGACCCCGUGGACCUUUACUACAGCUUGACACUGCUACUUGGAUAAGAAUGUGCAGGAUAGGUGGGAGGCUUUGAGUAUAUGACGCCAGUUGUAUAUGAGCCAUUGUUGAGAUACCACUCUUUCUUAUUUGGGUAGCUAACCAGCUUGAGUUAUCCUCAAGUGGGACAAUGUCUGGUGGGUAGUUUGACUGGGGCGGUCGCCUCCCAAAUAAUAACGGAGGCUUACAAAGGUUGGCUCAGAACGGUUGGAAAUCGUUCGUAGAGUAUAAAGGUAUAAGCCAGCUUAACUGCAAGACAUACAAGUCAAGCAGAGACGAAAGUCGGUCUUAGUGAUCCGGUGGUUCUGUGUGGAAGGGCCAUCGCUCAAAGGAUAAAAGGUACCCCGGGGAUAACCGUGGGCGUAAGAAGAUUGAAGAGAUUUGACCCUAGUACGAGAGGACCGGGUUGAACAAACCACUGGUGUAGCUGUUGUUCUGCCAAGAGCAUCGCAGCGUAGCUAAGUUUGGAAAGGAUAAACGCUGAAAGCAUCUAAGCGUGAAGCCAACUCUAAGAUGAAUCUUCUCUAAGCUCUCUAGAAGACUACUAGUUUGAUAGGCUGGGUGUGUAAUGGAUGAAAGUCCUUUAGCUGACCAGUACUAAUAGAGCGUUUGGCUUAUCUUUAAUAAAGCAU
RNAcentral lists this ribosomal RNA (1554 nucleotides) under Campylobacter jejuni. RNAcentral's name for it is "partial 23S ribosomal RNA". It matches the Rfam family "Bacterial large subunit ribosomal RNA", at positions 1223 to 2925 of the family's 2925-position model. Lineage: Bacteria; Pseudomonadati; Campylobacterota; Epsilonproteobacteria; Campylobacterales; Campylobacteraceae. The record is from RNAcentral.